Molecule: transfer RNA, 82 nt
Filed under: Paenibacillus roseus
Lineage: Bacteria; Bacillati; Bacillota; Bacilli; Caryophanales; Paenibacillaceae
Rfam family: tRNA
About the family: Transfer RNA (tRNA) molecules are approximately 80 nucleotides in length. Their secondary structure includes four short double-helical elements and three loops (D, anti-codon, and T loops).
Source: Rfam by way of RNAcentral
GCCUUUGUGACGAAAUUGGUAGACGUGUCAGUCUUAGGAACUGAAGCUGAGAAGCGUGCCGGUUCGAAUCCGGCCAAAGGCA